RNA transcript from Selaginella moellendorffii, 907 nucleotides. RefSeq lists it as uncharacterized. NCBI's taxonomy places the organism in Eukaryota, Viridiplantae, Streptophyta, Lycopodiopsida, Selaginellales, Selaginellaceae. The transcript is spliced from 4 exons. The record is from RefSeq and is a predicted model, not a curated record.
AGGCGUGAACCCUGAUUUCUUGUCUCGUCUUCCUUCCCUCCAUGGCGUCGCGCAAAUGCCGCUUCUGGAUCGAUCGGCGGAAGAGAGGAUUCGAUUGGCGCUAGCGCUGGAGGAAUUUCCAGGAGGGAAGAGGAGGAAUGUUCCAGUUUGGAGGCGGCGCCCAGGCGGCGCCUGUGGCGGCCACCGAAACGCCAUCGCUUCUCUCGGAUUGGAAGGCCUAUGCCAUGGGAGGAGGAGGAUCGGCCGCAGCUACUGUCAGCCACGACCAAGAGGCGGGGGCGUUUAGAUCCGCGUUUAACACGGUGACUACGAGGGUGACAAAUUUGCCUGGGAACGUCCAGACGGCUGCCACAGGCGGCUUGCCAUCGCGAAACCAGCUGCUCUACUUCAGCAUCAUGCUCGGGGCCGGCUGCUUCUUCAUCUUCAUCUCUCUCGUCAUGUUUUUGCCGCUCAUCGUUCUCAUGCCCGCCAAGUUUGCCUCGUGCUUUUCCCUCGGCAGCUGCCUUGUCAUCGGUUCCUUCUUCGCCUUGAAAGGCCCCAGAGCCCAGCUCGCACACAUGAUGUCGAAAGAGGUACCGAUCGUCGGGUUAAUCUACUUGGAAACAAACUAAGAGAGACUACCCUUCUCUGUUGCGUUUGUAGGAAGCAUGGUGGGAGCGAUUUACUCGUCCGUGAUCAUGCACAGCUAUCUUCUUUGUUUGCUUUUCUCCGGUAUUGAGAUUUUAGCGUUGCUAUACUACGUGUUAUCGUAUUUCCCCGGUGGCACUGCGGGUUUGAAAUUCAUGCUGUCAAUGAUGAAGAACAUGAUCCUGGGCUGUUUUCGCAGGUGACACUAGAUUCAUCACUUGUAGCAUAGUGCACGAAAUGUUUUCCAAGAAGGAUAAUGCAAUCAACGCCCGUUCUUCAA